GACGAACGCUGGCGGCGUGCUUAACACAUGCAAGUCGAACGGUGAAGCGCCUUCCUUUUUGGCUGGUGUGGUUGAGUGGCGAACGGGUGAGAAACACGUGAGUAACCUGCCUCCUUCUUCUGGCAAACCGCGUGAAAGUGUGGCUAAUACGGGAUAUUCUGAGUCUGUCGCAUGAUGGGUCUGGGAAAGAUAUUGUUUCGGUGGGGGAUGGGCUCGCGGCGUAUCAGCCUGUUGGUGGGGUGAUGGCCUACGAAGGCGGUGACGGGUAGUCGGACUGAGAGGGCGGCCGGUCUGAGUGGGACUGAGGCCCCGGACAGCUUCCGAAGGGAGCAGGCGGGGGGGAAUCGUGCACGAUGGGAGCAAGCCUGAGGCAGCGACGCUGCGUGAGGGAGGGCGGCCGGUGGGUUGGGAACCUCUUUCGCGAGUGAAGCAGGCCUGCCUCGUUGGGGGGUGGGUUGACGGUAGCUGGAUAAGAAGCGCCGGCUAACUACGUG
Molecule: ribosomal RNA, 494 nt
Filed under: uncultured bacterium
Lineage: Bacteria
Description: partial 16S ribosomal RNA
Rfam family: Bacterial small subunit ribosomal RNA
Source: RNAcentral